GCGUUCGUGGUGCAGUGGUCAGCACGUUUGAUGCGUAACCGAGAGGUCCUUGGUUCGAUUCAUGGCGAAGGCG
Stegodyphus mimosarum is the source of this 73-nucleotide non-coding RNA. Lineage: Eukaryota; Metazoa; Arthropoda; Arachnida; Araneae; Eresidae. The record is from Rfam.